This 542-nucleotide ribosomal RNA is filed under the name Daedaleopsis septentrionalis. RNAcentral describes it as "SSU rRNA". It matches the Rfam family "Bacterial small subunit ribosomal RNA", at positions 377 to 956 of the family's 1533-position model. Lineage: Eukaryota; Fungi; Basidiomycota; Agaricomycetes; Polyporales; Polyporaceae. The record is from RNAcentral.
GCAAGACUCGCAGAGAGGACAGCUAAUGAAACAUAGAAUUUUUUAAAAUUCAUGAUGUCGUAAGGGAAAAUAAUGAUAAUACCUUACUAUGAGUGUCGUCCAAAUCUGGUGCCAGAAGACUCGGUAAGACCAGAGACGCAAACGUUAAUCAUCAUAAACAGGCGUAAAGGGUUUGUAGGCAGCUUUCACCAAACUAUGAUUACAAAAUAAAGUAGUUUAAUUGAAAGCUAGAAUCAAAAAGAGGUUAUAGUGUAUAACGCCUAGAGGAGGGCUGAUAUCCAUAGAUCCUAGGCAGAAUACUCAGGGCGAAGGCCACUCUCCACUACUGAUUGACGCUGAGAAACGAAGGUUAGGGUAGGAAAUAGGAUUAGAUACCCCGGUACUCCUUUCUGUAAACGAUGAAUGGUAGUCAUUAGUUUUAUAACUAGAGACGAAGUUAACACAAUAACCAUUCCGCCUUGUGAGUACUACUGCAAAGUAGAAAACAAAAAAAUUAGUCGGUCUCGAAGCAAACGGAGUGAAGCAUGUUAUUUAAUUCGUAA